GUUGACGCAUCAUCAGCCGUUGGUUCCGAAGCAUAAUAAGCUGAAGUUGAAUCUGACAGUACUUGAGCAUCUUCUUGUUGAUUUCGUCUAUUUUUCUUGUAUAUUUAGCUUUUGAGGGUAGGUUCCACCGCUUGACUUGUGAACACUUCCGAACCAGUACAAGAGCUUCAUCGAUUAUAUCCUUGAAUUUCUUUAGUUCUCCAGCACCUGGCAACAUCUCGAUCUCUUCGAUUAUCGGAAGCACAUCCUCCAUCGUCGAUGCAAGCUCCAUAUACACAGAUUUGAAAGUCAACACCAUCUUAGCCUCUUCAAUAACAACUUUCAGGAGCUCAGAGACCACAGCUCCUGCAACAGAACCUACCCCCAAACUAACCACAUCGUUCAUUUCUUCUCUCACAAGCCCCAAAAACUUAUAACUCUCAGAUUUUGUCUGUAGAAUCUGAAUCUAGCUGAAAAUUUAUGAUGUUAAGAGGGGAUGAUUUGAUAAACAAUAAUGCAUAUAGAUAGAAACUUCAAUCUACCAACCAAACGACUUCCAUUUGCCCCCACCACUUGCCGGGCAGUUAAGAUUAUAUUGAUUGACUUUGAUAAUAUAGAAAAAGGUAAUAGUGACAGGGUUUUUAAGGCAAAUAAUUAUGAGGAUUCACUACUGAUUGCCCCCUACUUCCAUUUGCCCCUUACCACCAACAUUUCUAUUUUAUAAGGAUUCACUACUAUCUGCUGAUCAUCGUCCAAAUCGGUGUUGUGCAUGAAAUCUUGGCACAAUUUCUUUAUCAGUCAACAUGCAUCAUCAGAAAUUUAUAAUUUAAAUUUUCAUACAUGUAAAAUAAACUUACUAAAAUAAAUAUACUAACCACUCUCUUUUCACUCGUGUUUGAAUCAGACACAGACACAAAAACCAGUAACUCCAUGAUCCGACUCUGCCUCAUCUACAAAUUAUUUACGUAAAAGAUACAUUUUAUGUUAUUAGGCGCCAGAAUAUUUCAAUAAGAAAAGGUUAAGAAAAUGGGAGUGGAAGAGGAAAAUACUAAAAAAGAAAGAAGAUCUGGAAAAAAUUAUUUUUUAACUCUUCUACAAAGCUUAAAACACAAGAAAUAGAGAGACCGAGCACGUAAAGUAAAAUUGUUUCCAACCAUGAUGUAUUGCACUCCCACGUGACCCGCUGCCAUCCUUAACUUCGUCGUGUCCGUUUUUGAUCCUAACAAUAAGUGUAAUGCACUUAUUUUUCUUUCGUUAAGUCAUAAACUUGCUCCUCAAGUUUAUUCCUCUUUCCAUAUCUCCAAGAUACUCUCUUGCUCUUCAAGUCUACACGAUUCCAGCUCAGCAUCUUUACUCCACAUGGUCUUGACCACUCACCACGACAUCUACUUCAGCAAGUACGUCAUCGACUACUUCAGAGCAGACAUCUUACAUCAACAUUUGUGUUUCUAUUCUAUAUCCCCUAUAUAUUAUUUGAGAAUCAUUACAACAUUUUUUUGUAGUCACAUGUCAUCAUUUGAAUGAUUCUUAGAAUCCUUAUAGAAAUAGGUUAGUCCAUCUAAAUAUAUAAUAAGCUUUUUAUUAAAUUGACCAUAAAUACAUUAUUAAUGGACUUUAUUAUUUACUUAAAUAAAAUUACGGAAUUGUCUAAUGAAACUAAAGUAUAUGACAAUUAAUUGUAGAUUGUUAAUUAAUUUUAUGGUUACUUUAAUAAAAAAGUAUAUAAUAUAUGUUUAUUGGACCAACAUAUCUAGAAUGUUGUAAUGUUUUUCUUUUAAUAUAUAGGGGAUAUCGUCAUAUCUAACUUAAAUAUUCAAAACAUUACUAUGUUUGGGGAAGGGUUGCAACUAUAUAGUACUUGUAUAACAAUAUGGAAAUUAACAUUUCUAAUAUCUUCAAGCUUUUUUGGGUUACCCGUUCAGAUUUAGAUAUGUUUUAUACAAUUCUACAAGAUUCAUUCAUGUUAUUUUUACAUACCGGAUCGGGAACAAGUGCAGACCUAGCAAAUAGUAUAACACGGGGCACAUCAUAUAAGAGGUAAUUAACAAAAUUUAGUUGCUAUAGUUGGUUUUCAACCAAAUGUGCAUGUGGCAAUGUGAAGCUUAAAAUAUAUGUUCUCCUAAAUUUUCAAUAAAAUUAAUAAAAUUUAAAUUUUUGUAUGUGGCACUUGCCCCACCUAUUCAUCACCUGGGUCUGUCCCUGAUCGGGCAUUGAUUUGUUUCUUGUUCUGUUUGGAUCUUGGAUUCUUGGUUUUUAUCUAAUUUUUCACCAAAGCACGUUUAUAUUUUUUUUUGGAUUAAUGAAUUGUUCAAGCUUUUAGCAAAACUUUGUAAAUUCAGUAAUAUUAUGGUGAAUUUUGUUAUUUUUUAUUUUAGCAAAAUGACAUCGUUUUGAUUUCUGUAAAAAAAAAAUAUGUCGGUAAAGUGAAAGUUAAAGUUGACCAAAUUUUAUACCUGAUUUGGCUCGAUCACUAUAGAUUAAUAUGUUUUUGGAUCAGUAAAAAAAUUGUGAUUCUAAGGCGGAAAUGUUACAUCAUUUAUUUGACAGUUUUUUUCGUUUUCAGCAUAUAUUAUUAUUUGUAGAAGUUCAUUUGGUUUAAUGGUUUUAUUAAGGUUUCUAAUGCUUCUACAUCAAGAGGUAUGAGUUUUGAGUCUCAUAGAAAACGAAAUUAUACGAAUUAACGAAGAAAAAAGAUUACAAUAGAUAUGUAACAUAGUGUAAAGAAUAUCAUCAAGUGUGUGGAUCGAUAGAGCGGCUCAGGUGAUACAAUCAGACGUGAAACUUCAUAAAAAAAUGUAGAAUCGUCUGUAAUAUUUUCCAUAUAGCUUGUAAUAGAAUAAUUAUCAAGUGUUAAAAAAAACAUAUACUACUAUGUAUUGAAACUGAGAUGUCACAAUGCAAAAGCUGAAGCAAUGUCACCUUACCAGAAAAAAAAAACAACGGAACAAAAUACAUUAGCUGCCACUAGAACCGUGUCGUCAAGCAAGCCAAACUGACAUGUGGUUACGGAACCAUGUCGUCGAAAUACAGGGAUUUGAAACUACAGUUCAUUCAUAGUUCUCCAAAAUAACAUAUUUGUUAGAUAAAGUGAUUUCGUACGUUGUUGAAUCGCUUGAACAAUCACCAACAAUUUCUUCUGUCCAAGUAUCCGUUACAGGAUUUGACUGCACAUCGGGCUUGAUGGGCUCUUGUUCUAACUCAUCCAUCAAGUGUUUCUUCGUUUGGGCUGGAUUUUUAUUCUUCAUUUUGAUGGUCUGGCAACGGGUAAACCAUUUUAACAGGUGAGAAGCUUUGUGUUGCCGUUGCUUACAUGUGAGGACUGUUAAAAGUUGUUUCCUCUUCAGACUCGCUUUCGACUUGAAGUAGUACUCCCUCUUUUACAGCUUCUUUUACAAGUCGAACGCCAAUUUCUUCAAUUAAGAAUGGAAAUCCAUAGCAACGUUUCAAAAUCUGCAAACCCCACCGUGUGUGUUCCCACAAACAUGACAAUACAUAAGCUUUAAAAACUUGAAGAUAGAGUCUAGAAUAACAGAAGUGUAUGUAUUAUACCUCCUGGAAAAUAUGAUCAUUCUUAAAUGAUAAGUGGCGAAGUGAUGCCUUCUCAAUGAGAAGGGACUUAGCAUCUUCAUCUCCCAAAGGGUUCAUAUGACAAGUGGGACCAAAACUCGGAAACUCAAACCGAGAAGUCACCAGAAUCUUGAAAUUCAGUAUGUUAAUCUGAAAUUUCUGAAGAAAAGAGUCUGCUCCUUGGCACACAUCAUCCAGCACCAACAAUAUAGGACCCUCUUCUUGAAGUUCCUCAAGCAGAUUUCUUAAACCAUCAGCUGCUUGAGAAUCGUUCUCAAAUGUAGGUGCUUCAUAACCGUUGUGCUGGAGUAAAUUCUGUACUAUGGUUCUGAAGGUAGGAGCACUUGACAUGACACAAAAGAAGAUAUACUCGAACUUUUCUGCAAAUUAAUGGAAACUAGAAUUAAGCUCUCACAUCGAAGUUUAACUCAGACAUGAGUAAUAUAUAAAGAUCACCAACUGGUUUUAAGUUGUAAGCUUAUAAUAAACCCGGAUUUAACAAAAUCAGAAAUAAAAAUCAAGAGUAAUGAAAUUAAAAAAAGACUUUCAAAACCUUUGAUCUCAUCAUCAUGACAAAGCUGAGUGACCAAUGUGGUUUUCCCGCACCCGGGAGGAGCAGAGACCACAAGACUAACCACUGGAUCAUCAUCCUUAAAGAGCUUCGUCUUUAUUUCCAACAAUGGCAAAUCCAAACCAACGAGAACCUUAUCAAGCUUGGGGACCGAACAAAGAUCCCUAUAAACAGGCGGAUAAACACUCAAACCAUCGAUCUUCAUAUUGAUGCUUUUGAGAUGACUCUCAAUGGCUUCCCUCGUAUCCUCAGGCAGAAUAUCAGACAUCAUGGUAGACCCCUCCAACGGCAUACUCAUGUAAGAAAAAAAUCCGGAUUGAUGCAUAAUCAGCCGUUGGUUCCGAAGCAUAAUAAGCUGAAGUUGAAUCUGACAGAACUUGAGCACCUUCUUGUUGAUUUCCUCUAUUUUUCUUGUAUAUUUAGCUUUUGAGGGUAGGUUCCACCGCUUGACUUGUGAACACUUACGAACCAGUACAAGAGCUUCAUCGAUUAUAUCCUUGAGUUUCUUUAGUUCUCCUGCACCUUGCAACAUCUCGAUCUCUAUGACUGCUGGAAGCACA
Molecule: long non-coding RNA, 4677 nt
Filed under: Brassica rapa (field mustard)
Lineage: Eukaryota; Viridiplantae; Streptophyta; Magnoliopsida; Brassicales; Brassicaceae
Description: long non-coding RNA (BRAP_LNC004660)
Source: RNAcentral